AGGGAUUUAGCUCAGUGGCACAGCACAUGCCUGGCAAGCGUGAGGUCCUGAGUUCAAUCCCAGGUACCCAA
RNAcentral lists this transfer RNA (71 nucleotides) under Heterocephalus glaber (naked mole-rat). It matches the Rfam family "tRNA". Rfam says of the family: Transfer RNA (tRNA) molecules are approximately 80 nucleotides in length. Their secondary structure includes four short double-helical elements and three loops (D, anti-codon, and T loops). Further hydrogen bonds mediate the characteristic L-shaped molecular structure. tRNAs have two regions of fundamental functional importance: the anti-codon, which is responsible for specific mRNA codon recognition, and the 3' end, to which the tRNAs corresponding amino acid is attached (by aminoacyl-tRNA synthetases). tRNAs cope with the degeneracy of the genetic code in two manners: having more than one tRNA (with a specific anti-codon) for a particular amino acid; and 'wobble' base-pairing, i.e. permitting non-standard base-pairing at the 3rd anti-codon position. Lineage: Eukaryota; Metazoa; Chordata; Mammalia; Rodentia; Bathyergidae. The record is from Rfam by way of RNAcentral.